GGAGUUUUUGAAAAUCUAAGACUCUAGAUUUCAUUCCCUAAUGUGUAGUUGAACCCUGGCCGAAGCGACAGAGUAACUUUUUACCCUCAUCAAGACCAUAGCGACAAGAUGGGAUUGAAUCGUAUGUGGGUACUUAGAACCUCUUGAGGUUAGGUUCAUUUGUACUUAGGACAUGAUUUGUGAUCAUCACUUAGACUCGUGGGUCGUAAGUUAGGUUUGAGCGACGGGUAUCAUCCACCCAAAGCGAUGGGUGAUAUAUGAG
This 262-nucleotide long non-coding RNA is filed under the name Zostera marina. RNAcentral's name for it is "long non-coding RNA (ZMAR_LNC001030)". The record is from RNAcentral. Lineage: Eukaryota; Viridiplantae; Streptophyta; Magnoliopsida; Alismatales; Zosteraceae.